Molecule: ribosomal RNA, 380 nt
Filed under: uncultured bacterium
Lineage: Bacteria
Description: bacterial SSU rRNA
Rfam family: Bacterial small subunit ribosomal RNA
Source: RNAcentral
CGGGGAGCAAUCCCAGCGGCGAACGGGUGAGUAACACGUAGGUAAUGUGCCUUUUGGUGGGGAAUAACCGUGGGAAACCAUGGCUAAUACCGCAUAUCGUGCUUCGGCAUGAAAGCUUCUGAGGCAACUCGGGGGCGCCAGUUGAGCAGCCUGCGUCCCAUUAUUUAGUCCUAGUUGGUAGGGUAAUGGCCUACCAAGGGUACGAUGGGUAGCUGGUCUGAGAGGAUGAUCAGCCACACUGGAACUGAGACACGGUCCAGACUCCUACGGGAGGCAGCAGUGGGGAAUAUUGCGCAAUGGGGGAAACCCUGACGCAGCCACGCCGCGUGAGUGAUGAAGGCCUUCGGGUUGUAAAGCUCUGUCGGGAAGGGCGAAGGGGA